UGGGCGUGUAGCUCAGCGGGAGAGCACUACGUUGACAUCGUAGGGGUCACAGGUUCGAUCCCUGUCACGCCCACCAG
RNAcentral lists this transfer RNA (77 nucleotides) under Bartonella quintana str. Toulouse. RNAcentral's name for it is "tRNA-Val". It matches the Rfam family "tRNA". Rfam says of the family: Transfer RNA (tRNA) molecules are approximately 80 nucleotides in length. Their secondary structure includes four short double-helical elements and three loops (D, anti-codon, and T loops). The record is from RNAcentral. Lineage: Bacteria; Pseudomonadati; Pseudomonadota; Alphaproteobacteria; Hyphomicrobiales; Bartonellaceae.